Molecule: long non-coding RNA, 1126 nt
Organism: Zonotrichia leucophrys gambelii
Lineage: Eukaryota; Metazoa; Chordata; Aves; Passeriformes; Passerellidae
Exons: 6
Source: RefSeq, a predicted model, not a curated record
UCAAAAUAUUACUUCAUAAUGAGCAUAAAACACAGCUUAAAGCACAUAUUAUGGGUCCAGAAGAGCACAUCUUUCAGUCUUCAAGAAGUAUUUAAACUACUCUGGCAGAUGAAGAUUUGGAUUUGGCUUGCUUGAUGCUGGACGAUUAAUGAAGGAAGCCCUAACUGGACAAAUGUUGGUCUCCUGAGACAAUGUGUUGUUGAUAACAGAAAAGGAUUGACAAUAAGAUGUGGAUGUUCAUCUUUAAUGAACUCUAGUCACCAAGUGGAAGCCAGCUAAGUUUGAUGAUGCAAUUGACCACCUUCUCAGCAACAGCUGAAUGUUUGCUCCUCAAAAGAGUAAGAGCAAGCCUGUUAACUGCAAAUGUGAAGAGAUGAAGCAAGCAAAAAAGAAAAAGUGUGAAGAGUUUGCUGCCACAUCAUCCCUGUAUCAGAUAGUUUUGGGAUCAAUGAAUGAACAGUUUUACAAAACUGCACAUAAAUAAAAAGAAUGGACCUUCCCUGUGAAACGUGAGCACAGAAACGCUCACAAGUGGCCAAGAGCUGCUAAAUAAUUAAUCAAUAGAGCAGUGUGGCAGUUUGAAAUGUAAAUGUGAUGGAUGAAGGUGUGAUGCUUGUCAUCAAGCAGAAAAUGAUGUGACUGGAAUGGAUAACCCACAGUACCUGCUAACUGGCAAGAGCUUGGACGCAAAGAUAAAGUAAAGCCAUCAGAAAGCAGACCUGGCAACCCCUAAUUCUUGCCUUUGACCCACAAUUCACUUUCAUGUCUCUGUCCCAGAAGAGAUGUUUAAAAAAAUGAUGAAGAGAGAUCUUGAGGUGGGAAAGGGGUGAGAAAAAAACCAUCUGAAGAAAUGCUACCUGACAAGGCUGCAGGCUACGUUCUUGAGAACACCUUUCUUUUCUUUAUGUUCUCCUUCUCCCGUUAAAUAAAAAUGCGGCUCCUUUUUUCCCUUCCCUUUCUUCCGAAACUCUCCCGAGCCGUUCCUGCAAGUGGUUCUGUGACUCGGGAGCUGACAACAGCCGCAUGCAAAGGAACAAAGAAUGAGAGUGACAAUUCAGAGUGCACGCAGGACCUCUACAGUUGUGAAGCAGCCUGCAGAAGCAGUAGAUCUCCAGGUGAACUGGCC